Molecule: ribosomal RNA, 474 nt
Filed under: uncultured organism
Description: partial 16S ribosomal RNA
Rfam family: Bacterial small subunit ribosomal RNA
Source: RNAcentral
ACUCCUGCGGGAGGCAGCAGUGGGGAAUUUUGGACAAUGGGCGAAAGCCUGAUCCUGCAAUGCCGCGUGAGUGAAGAAGGCCUUCGGGUUGUAAAGCUCUUUUGUCAGGGAAGAAACGGUGAAAGCUAAUAUCUUUUGCUAAUGACGGUACCUGAAGAAUAAGCACCGGCUAACUACGUUCCAGCAGCCGCGGUAAUACGUAGGGUGCAAGCGUUAAUCGGAAUUACUGGGCGUAAAGCGUGCGCAGGCGGUUUUGUAAGUCUGAUGUGAAAUCCCCGGGCUCAACCUGGGAAUUGCAUUGGAGACUGCAAGGCUAGAAUCUGGCAGAGGGGGGUAGAAUUCCACGUGUAGCAGUGAAAUGCGUAGAUAUGUGGAGGAACACCGAUGGCGAAGGCAGCCCCCUGGGUCAAGAUUGACGCUCAUGCACGAAAGCGUGGGGAGCAAACAGGAUUAGAAACCCCUGUAGUCCCAUGA